RNAcentral lists this long non-coding RNA (883 nucleotides) under Felis catus (domestic cat). RNAcentral describes it as "lncRNA (ENSFCAG00000040849.2)". The record is from RNAcentral. Lineage: Eukaryota; Metazoa; Chordata; Mammalia; Carnivora; Felidae.
AUGCAAGUGAAUCUAAUUAAUGACCUUCAGUAUCUUCUGUGCUUUUUUAUUAUCCCAUCCACAGUUCCUGGAGCCUUCCGGUCACUUACAAUUCAAACAAAAGAAACACCAAAAGCUAGCUCGUGUGUCAUGGGCUCCUUUUCUCUGUCUCGGCACCAGAAGGUUCUAGAAACCGUUUGCAGACUCUCCUCAGGGACUCAGAAGUCAUCAAGCGCCGUCGCCGAGCACUUCUCAAACGGUCCCGUACGCACACGCACACACACAAACACACACGCCAGGAGAGUCUUGUUAACAAGCCCGUGGUCCUGCGUUUCCAGCAUGCUCACGGGACCCUAAUGCUGCUGAUCUGGAGACCUCGCUUUGAGCAGCGAGACUGCGGGUGGCGUUCUGAACCUGACGGUCCGUGGGCUAUUGUUCCGUAUAGGAUGCCGGGACGGCUGGGUAGCCAUCCAGAAAAAGUAACGUCAGACUUACACUCCCAAUUCCUGUACUAGGACGGAUACGAAGAAGUGUGAUCUGUGCUCGAGGUGGAAAUGCAAAAUGAUGAACAAUUGAAAGGACAACGGGCAAAGAAUAGAGACACUCAGUAACUUGACCAAACUCACAAGAAGCCGGUGCGUGAACCGGAAUGAGAAACCAUUAAUUUGCAAUGGGAAAUACUCCUUUGCGAUGACAGAACACGCAUGUCUGCCAUCCCAGGCACCUCGCUGCACAGAUCAAGAUGCCCGUGACGUUCCGUGAGGGAGCCCGGUGGGGCGCCUGGCUGGCUCCUUCAGAAGAGCAUGGGACUCUCGAUGAUCUCAGGGUCGUGAGUUCAGACCCCAUGUUGGGCAUGGAGCCUACUUUAAAUAAAUAAAUAAAUAAAUAAAUAAAUAAAUAAAUA